This 464-nucleotide ribosomal RNA is filed under the name uncultured bacterium. RNAcentral's name for it is "bacterial SSU rRNA". It matches the Rfam family "Bacterial small subunit ribosomal RNA", at positions 28 to 507 of the family's 1533-position model. The record is from RNAcentral.
GACGAACGCUGGCGGCGUGCCUAACACAUGCAAGUCGAGCGAGGAGAGUUCCUUCGGGAACAAACCUAGCGGCGGACGGGUGAGUAACACGUGGGCAACCUGCCUUGUAGAGGGAAUAGCCUUCCGAAAAGGAAGAUUAAUACCGCAUAACAUUACAGUUUCGCAUGAAACAGUAAUUAAAGGAGUAAUCCGCUACAAGAUGGGCCCGCGGCGCAUUAGCCAGUUGGUGAGGUAACGGCUCACCAAGGCGACGAUGCGUAGCCGACCUGAGAGGGUGAUCGGCCACAUUGGGACUGAGGCACGGCCCAGACUCCUACGGGAGGCAGCAGUGGGGAAUAUUGCACAAUGGGGGAAACCCUGAUGCAGCAACGCCGCGUGAGUGAUGAAGGUUUUCGGAUCGUAAAGCUCUGUCUUCGGGGACGAUAAUGACGGUACCCGAGGAGGAAGCCACGGCUAACUACGUG